GACGCGACGACGGCGACACUUUGCUACGGAGUGCAUCGGACGUCGAAGCCUAGAGUCUCUGCGUCUUUCCCUCUUCCGCUGCCUCAUUCCUUUCCUUCCUAGCCUUGGUCGUCGCCGCCACCAUGAACAAGAAGAAGAAACCGUUCCUAGGGAUGCCCGCGCCCCUCGGCUACGUGCCGGGGCUGGGCCGGGGUGAGGAGUAGAGGAAUCUGACGUGUAGUGGAAACACGCG
RNAcentral lists this long non-coding RNA (232 nucleotides) under Homo sapiens (human). Its description in RNAcentral is "HSALNT0270619". Lineage: Eukaryota; Metazoa; Chordata; Mammalia; Primates; Hominidae. The record is from RNAcentral.